This 472-nucleotide ribosomal RNA is filed under the name uncultured bacterium. RNAcentral describes it as "bacterial SSU rRNA". It matches the Rfam family "Bacterial small subunit ribosomal RNA", at positions 355 to 825 of the family's 1533-position model. The record is from RNAcentral.
UGGGGAAUUUUGGACAAUGGGGGAAACCCUGAUCCAGCAAUGCCGCGUGAGUGAAGAAGGCCUUCGGGUUGUAAAGCUCUUUCAGUUGAGAAGAAAUGAUUAUGGCUAAUAAUCAUAAUUGAUGACGGUAUCAACAGAAGAAGCACCGGCUAACUACGUGCCAGCAGCCGCGGUAAUACGUAGGGUGCGAGCGUUAAUCGGAAUUACUGGGCGUAAAGGGUGCGCAGGCGGUUAUGUAAGUCAGAUGUGAAAUCCCCGGGCUUAACCUGGGAAUUGCGUUUGAAACUACAUGACUAGAGUGUAACAGAGGGAAGUGGAAUUCCAUGUGUAGCAGUGAAAUGCGUAGAGAUAUGGAGGAACAUCGAUGGCGAAGGCGACUUGCUGGACUUGUGGUGACGCUGAGACGCGAAAGCGUGGGGAGCAAACAGGAUUAGAUACCCCCGUAGUCCCUGAGCGGGCUGGCAAGGCGCAU